RNAcentral lists this long non-coding RNA (476 nucleotides) under Hordeum vulgare. Its description in RNAcentral is "long non-coding RNA (HVUL_LNC012828)". The record is from RNAcentral. Lineage: Eukaryota; Viridiplantae; Streptophyta; Magnoliopsida; Poales; Poaceae.
CCAAGGUUACCAAGGUUGCCAUUAAGAAGAAAUAGGCGCCAUCUAGCGAAAGGUUUUUGUUCAUGGUCGUUGCUUUUGUUGCUUCAGACUCUUAUCCCGGGCGAGCAAUGAUCCGUGAGUCAUUUAAUUACUGUAUUUCUAUUCCUGCUUCGGCUAAAAUCCUGUGCCGUGAGACUGAUUUGUUGUGAAAUGCAAGUUAUUAGAUUGCACUUGUUUUCUCCUCCUUUUGCCAAAUGUUGCAUGUUUCUCUCUAUCUGUUUUUUAUUUACAACACUUUGGUUUUGCAUCCAUUCAUUGUCUGAAUGGUCUGGUUAUCUUUUGAACUCUGGCGGCUGAGAGAUUGCUGGUGGUCCGUCUGUCCUUGGCGGCUUGCAUCUCCUCAAGAUUUAGGAUUUAUGAUUGCUUGUCACAUGAAUAUGUAUGUAGGGAUAAUGUGUGAUUGCCAUAUGGCACCGCACUAGUUUGCAGAACCUGGC